AGGCCCGUGGCGAAGCUCGGAUAUCGCGGCAGCCUCCUAAAUUGGAAAUCGGGGGUUCAAAUCCCCCCGGGCCUG
This 75-nucleotide transfer RNA is filed under the name Promethearchaeota archaeon. Its description in RNAcentral is "Candidatus Lokiarchaeota archaeon tRNA-Arg". It matches the Rfam family "tRNA". From Rfam's summary of the family: Transfer RNA (tRNA) molecules are approximately 80 nucleotides in length. Their secondary structure includes four short double-helical elements and three loops (D, anti-codon, and T loops). The record is from RNAcentral. Lineage: Archaea; Promethearchaeati; Promethearchaeota.